AAAUAGCCCAUGCGGAAAUUGAGAAAUAAUAAGGAUUGACCUAAUAAUUGUAUUAUUGACCUAAUAAUUCUAUGUACCGACUCGCAGUAUGUCAAAUUUGUCCCAUGCGGAAAUUCUCCAUCUCCCGCUUCCCGCUUCCCGCUUCCCGCUUCCCACCUCCCACCUCCCACCCACUGAAUUUAUUAGUGACAGCGGAGGGUCAAAAGCAUUGGGCGGGUGAAGGUAAACCCCACGCAUUGACGCAUAGUCGCAUACCUGUUAAAGUGUUAUUAUUAUUAUUAUUAUUAUUAUUCUAAAGUGUGACAACUUUGGC
Molecule: long non-coding RNA, 313 nt
Filed under: Citrus x clementina
Lineage: Eukaryota; Viridiplantae; Streptophyta; Magnoliopsida; Sapindales; Rutaceae
Description: Citrus clementina (C. clementina) long non-coding RNA (CCLE_LNC004245)
Source: RNAcentral